This 275-nucleotide ribosomal RNA is filed under the name uncultured Lachnospiraceae bacterium. RNAcentral describes it as "partial 16S ribosomal RNA". It matches the Rfam family "Bacterial small subunit ribosomal RNA", at positions 60 to 339 of the family's 1533-position model. The record is from RNAcentral. Lineage: Bacteria; Bacillati; Bacillota; Clostridia; Lachnospirales; Lachnospiraceae.
UGCUUGCACAGCCCAAUCUUUUCAUAACUUAGUGGCGGACGGGUGAGUAACGCGUGGGUAACCUGCCCUGUACUGGGGGACAACAGUUGGAAACGACUGCUAAUACCGCAUAAGCGCACGGGAUCGCAUGAUCCUGUGUGAAAAACUCCGGUGGUACAGGAUGGACCCGCGUCUGAUUAGCUGGUUGGUGAGGUAACGGCCCACCAAGGCAACGAUCAGUAGCCGGCCUGAGAGGGUGAACGGCCACAUUGGGACUGAGACACGGCCCAAACUCC